Capra hircus (goat) is the source of this 117-nucleotide ribosomal RNA. The record is from Ensembl. NCBI's taxonomy places the organism in Eukaryota, Metazoa, Chordata, Mammalia, Artiodactyla, Bovidae.
GUCUACGGCCAUAGUACGCUGAAUGCGCCAAUCUUGUCUGAUCUCAGAAGCUAAGCAGGUCGGGCCUGUUGAGUACUUGGAUGGGAGACUUUAUUAGAAUCUAAUAGUGUGUCCAGA